GACAGAGGAUGCAAGCGUUAUCCGGAAUGAUUGGGCGUAAAGCGUCUGUAGGUGGCUUUUUAAGUCUGCCGUCAAAUCCCAGGGCUUAACCCUGGACAGGCGGUGGAAACUACCAAGCUGGAGUACGGUAGGGGCAGAGGGAAUUUCCGGUGGAGCGGUGAAAUGCGUAGAGAUCGGAAAGAACACCGGUGGCGAAAGCGCUCUGCUGGACCUUAACUGACACUGAGGGACGAAAGCUAGGGGAGCGAAUGGG
Molecule: ribosomal RNA, 253 nt
Filed under: uncultured bacterium
Lineage: Bacteria
Description: partial 16S ribosomal RNA
Rfam family: Bacterial small subunit ribosomal RNA
Source: RNAcentral